This 497-nucleotide ribosomal RNA is filed under the name uncultured bacterium. RNAcentral's name for it is "partial 16S ribosomal RNA". It matches the Rfam family "Bacterial small subunit ribosomal RNA", at positions 28 to 523 of the family's 1533-position model. The record is from RNAcentral.
GACGAACGCUGGCGGCGUGCCUAAUACAUGCAAGUCGUGCGGAACCUUCGGGUUCAGCGGCGGACGGGUGAGUAACACGUGGGCAAUCUGCCCGACAGAUUGGGAUAACGCUUGGAAACGAGUGCUAAUACCGGAUAUGCUCUUGGCUCGCAUGAGCCGAGAGGGAAAGCUGCUCUUGCAGCACUGUCGGAUGAGCCCGCGGCGCAUUAGCUAGUUGGUGAGGUAACGGCUCACCAAGGCGACGAUGCGUAGCCGACCUGAGAGGGUGACCGGCCACACUGGGACUGAGACACGGGCCAGACUCCUACGGGAGGAAGCAGUAGGGAAUCUUCCGCAAUGGGCGCAAGCCUGACGGAGCAACGCCGCGUGAGUGAUGAAGGCCUUCGGGUUGUAAAACUCUGUCUUCUGUGAAGAACAAGCCUAUGAAGAGAACGCUUAGGCCCUGACGGUAACAGAGGAGGAAGCCCCGGCUAACUACGUGCCAGCCGCCGCUGUAA